GAUGAACGCUGGCGGCGUGCCUAAUACAUGCAAGUCGAGCGAACGGAGGAGAAUCUUGCUUUUCUGAUGUUAGCGGCGGACGGGUGAGUAACACGUGGAUAACCUGCCGAUAAGACUAGGAUAAGGUCGGGAAACCGGAGCUAGUACAGGAUAAUAGUUUGAACCGCAUGGUUCAAAAGUGAAAGACGGUCUUGAUGUCACUUAUAGAUGGAUCCGCGCUGCAUUAGCUAGUUGGUAAGGUAACGGCUUACCAAGGCAACGAUGCAUAGCCGACCUGAGAGGGUGAUCGGCCACACUGGAACUGAGACACGGUCCAGACUCCUACGGGAGGCAGCAGUAGGGAAUAUUCGGCAAUGGGCGAAAGCCUGACGGAGCAACGCCGCGUGAGUGAUGAAGGUCUUCGGAUCGUAAAACUCUGUUAUUAGGGAAGAACAUAUGUGUAAGUAACUGUGCACAUCUUGACGGUACCUAAUCAGAAAGCCACGGCUAACUACGUG
RNAcentral lists this ribosomal RNA (497 nucleotides) under uncultured bacterium. RNAcentral describes it as "partial 16S ribosomal RNA". It matches the Rfam family "Bacterial small subunit ribosomal RNA", at positions 28 to 507 of the family's 1533-position model. The record is from RNAcentral.